This 467-nucleotide ribosomal RNA is filed under the name uncultured bacterium. Its description in RNAcentral is "partial 16S ribosomal RNA". It matches the Rfam family "Bacterial small subunit ribosomal RNA", at positions 28 to 506 of the family's 1533-position model. The record is from RNAcentral.
GACGAACGCUGGCGGCGUGCUUAACACAUGCAAGUCGAACGGAAAGGCCCUGCUUUUGUGGGGUGCUCGAGUGGCGAACGGGUGAGUAACACGUGAGUAACCUGCCCUUGACUUUGGGAUAACUUCAGGAAACUGGGGCUAAUACCGGAUAGGAGCUCCUGCUGCAUGGUGGGGGUUGGAAAGUUUCGGCGGUUGGGGAUGGACUCGCGGCUUAUCAGCUUGUUGGUGGGGUAGUGGCUUACCAAGGCUUUGACGGGUAGCCGGCCUGAGAGGGUGACCGGCCACAUUGGGACUGAGAGACGGCCCAGACUCCUACGGGAGGCAGCAGUGGGGAAGAUUGCACAAUGGGCGGAAGACUGAUGCAGCAACGCCGCGUGCGGGAUGACGGCCUUCGGGUUGUAAACCGCUUUCGCCUGUGACGAAGCGUGAGUGACGGUAAUGGGUAAAGAAGCACCGGCUAACUACGU